Molecule: ribosomal RNA, 800 nt
Filed under: uncultured bacterium
Lineage: Bacteria
Description: bacterial SSU rRNA
Rfam family: Bacterial small subunit ribosomal RNA
Source: RNAcentral
AGAGUUUGAUCCUGGCUCAGAGUGAACGCUGGCGGCGUGCUUAACACAUGCAAGUCGCACGAGAAAGGACUUCGGUCUGAGUAAAGUGGCGCACGGGUGAGUAACACGUGAAUAACGUACCUCCGGAUGGGGAAUAACGUUCCGAAAGGAGCGCUAAUACCGCAUAAGACCACGUCAUCACAAGAUGAUGAGGCCAAAGCAGCAAUGCGUCUGGAGAUCGGUUCGCGUCCCAUUAGGUAGUUGGCGGGGUAAUGGCCCACCAAGCCAAAGAUGGGUAGCUGGUCUGAGAGGAUGAUCAGCCACAUUGGGACCGAGACACGGCCCAAACUCCUACGGGAGGCAGCAGUGGGGAAUCUUGCGCAAUGGGCGAAAGCCUGACGCAGCAACGCCGCGUGAGUGAUGAAGGCCCUCGGGUCGUAAAGCUCUGUCAGAAGGGAAGAAUUAAUGACGGUACCUUCAAAGGAAGCACCGGCUAACUCCGUGCCAGCAGCCGCGGUAAUACGGAGGGUGCAAGCGUUACUCGGAAUCAUUGGGCGUAAAGCGCACGUAGGCGGUCUCUUAAGUCCGAUGUGAAAUCCCGGGGCUCAACCUCGGAUGGCCAUUGGAAACUGAGAGACUUGAGAGUGGAAGGGGUCAGUGGAAUUCCUGGUGUAGGAGUGAAAUCCGUAGAGAUCAGGAGGAACACCGGUGGCGAAGGCGACUGACUGGGCCAUUUCUGACGCUAAUGUGCAAAAGCGUGGGGAGCAACAGGAUUAGAUACCCUGGUAGUCCACGCCGUAAACGAUGCUUGCUGGUUGUGG